Molecule: non-coding RNA, 1057 nt
Organism: Punica granatum (pomegranate)
Lineage: Eukaryota; Viridiplantae; Streptophyta; Magnoliopsida; Myrtales; Lythraceae
Source: RefSeq, a predicted model, not a curated record
UUGUCCGUACUUUGGAGGAAGACUUGCAGAGAACUAGGAAUGAACUUGCUAUGCUCAAGGCGAAGCAGAAGGAAGACGAGAAGGAUAGGAAUUCUUCAUGGACAAGCUUUCUGCAAGAUCAGCUGCUCUUGGUGAUAAGGAACUCGAGGAACUAAAGAUUCAGGAGCAGAGAGGGAAAGCUCCUACAGAGAUGGACAGAGCAAGUUUUAUCAGUUUUAUUCAGAGUUUUACCAGUCUAAGAAGAAGUUGAUUGAGGAGAGAAUGGACUUCGUAGAGAAACUUGCUCGGAGAAAGUAUGACUUGAGCUCAGAUAAAGAUGUGCACGAGGAGUUAAUAAAUAAAAUGGACAUUGGAGAAUUCGUCUAGGAGAGUGAGUUCAGGCAUUGGAGAAUACAGUCUUCUUAUUCAAAGCUACGACAUCGUUACGAGAUAAGCUGAAAGAUAGCACUGGAAAGCCCCUGGCAGAUCAACUACAGAAGAAAACCGAAUAUAUAGGAGCCCUUCAUGAGGAGAAUGAGAAACAUAAGCAGGCUGGUAAUGACAUCAGGAGGAUCUAUAAAAUGGAGAAGCAGGAGAUUAUCGAUCAGAAGAAAGAGAGGUUUUUACUUUCUUGUUCACUCGCGUUACCGUCAACUGCCUCUGGUACCAAAAAAAAAAAUAUCAAUCAUUUAAUCAAGUUUCCGGGACAAAGUUCCUGCAGAAAUGGAAAGGAAGCAUGAAGAAACUGGCAGAAUGCGGGGGAGUCAAAACAGAAGUUGACAUGCAUGCCUGCUCUGAUAUAAACCAGAAACUGAAGUGAUUCAAGCUUGAAAAUUUGGCAUUUCCCUUCUGUUUCUGCAUAUAGAAUUCGUGUCUCGAAUAAGCGGGAUCUGUUUUGACGAGUCGUGGAAACUAUUCAGGGUGCUUGCUCAACAAGGACAAGUUUUUGGGUAAUUUUUAUAAUAGCAAGGACGAACAAACUGACUGCAGCCAUCAUCACGUAUGAAUCGUCGAGUACUCCUGAUUAAAUUUUAUAUGUUUAAUUUUAUUUGAUAUUGGAAAGUUUGUCUUUUUACUC